Molecule: ribosomal RNA, 862 nt
Filed under: Bacillus sp. 02A-X15
Lineage: Bacteria; Bacillati; Bacillota; Bacilli; Caryophanales; Bacillaceae
Description: bacterial SSU rRNA
Rfam family: Bacterial small subunit ribosomal RNA
Source: RNAcentral
GCCGCGUGAGUGAUGAAGGUUUUCGGAUCGUAAAGCUCUGUUGUUAGGGAAGAACAAGUGCCGUUCAAAUAGGGCGGCACCUUGACGGUACCUAACCAGAAAGCCACGGCUAACUACGUGCCAGCAGCCGCGGUAAUACGUAGGUGGCAAGCGUUGUCCGGAAUUAUUGGGCGUAAAGGGCUCGCAGGCGGUUUCUUAAGUCUGAUGUGAAAGCCCCCGGCUCAACCGGGGAGGGUCAUUGGAAACUGGGGAACUUGAGUGCAGAAGAGGAGAGUGGAAUUCCACGUGUAGCGGUGAAAUGCGUAGAGAUGUGGAGGAACACCAGUGGCGAAGGCGACUCUCUGGUCUGUAACUGACGCUGAGGAGCGAAAGCGUGGGGAGCGAACAGGAUUAGAUACCCUGGUAGUCCACGCCGUAAACGAUGAGUGCUAAGUGUUAGGGGGUUUCCGCCCCUUAGUGCUGCAGCUAACGCAUUAAGCACUCCGCCUGGGGAGUACGGUCGCAAGACUGAAACUCAAAGGAAUUGACGGGGGCCCGCACAAGCGGUGGAGCAUGUGGUUUAAUUCGAAGCAACGCGAAGAACCUUACCAGGUCUUGACAUCCUCUGACAAUCCUAGAGAUAGGACGUCCCCUUCGGGGGCAGAGUGACAGGUGGUGCAUGGUUGUCGUCAGCUCGUGUCGUGAGAUGUUGGGUUAAGUCCCGCAACGAGCGCAACCCUUGAUCUUAGUUGCCAGCAUUCAGUUGGGCACUCUAAGGUGACUGCCGGUGACAAACCGGAGGAAGGUGGGGAUGACGUCAAAUCAUCAUGCCCCUUAUGACCUGGGCUACACACGUGCUACAAUGGACAGAACAAAGGGCAGC